RNAcentral lists this long non-coding RNA (533 nucleotides) under Brassica napus (rape). Its description in RNAcentral is "long non-coding RNA (BNAP_LNC004073)". The record is from RNAcentral. Lineage: Eukaryota; Viridiplantae; Streptophyta; Magnoliopsida; Brassicales; Brassicaceae.
UGUAUUAAACAAAUCAAUAAAUAUUAAUAAUGCCGAAUAAGAAAUAUAAACAAUAAUAUCAUAUAGCUACACAAUACAUAAUACUAAAACAGAAAUUAUAUAUUUAAAGCAUUUGUAAUAAUAUCAAAUAUCUUUAUAAAAUUAAAAAAUAUCUGCACGGACAUGCGGGUUAAAAUCUAGUGUUGCUUUAAAUGAAGUUUGUUAACAAUACUAUUAAGAAAAAAACAAUAUUUAUCUACUUGCAAGUAGUCUAUAUUAUACCAAUUCAUUUAAUAGUAACUAGCAUUCCUAUAUUUUUGAAUGUACCAUAUAUUAACUAUUAUUAAAUAUGCACUUAAUCUUUAAGACAUUAUUUAGUUUUUUCUUACAUCCCUAACACAUUAUUUAGUCAAUUGAAGCAAGUACAAUAUUUAAAUGAAUCCUAGCACAUAAUUAUACAAAAAUACGAAAUCAUAAUUGGGGUUUACCAAAUAUGACUCAAAACUUGAUUUUGAUUGCAAAAUCUAACUUCAUUGUAUACAACAUAUUAAUAG